Molecule: regulatory RNA element, 40 nt
Rfam family: Ribosomal protein L19 leader
About the family: This family is a putative r-protein leader autoregulatory structure found in B. subtilis and other low-GC Gram-positive bacteria.
Source: Rfam
ACGGUGUUCCGCUGUAGUGAAAUGACUAUAUGAGCAUCUG